Molecule: non-coding RNA, 121 nt
Organism: Picea glauca (white spruce)
Lineage: Eukaryota; Viridiplantae; Streptophyta; Pinopsida; Pinales; Pinaceae
Source: Rfam
ACAUGCCUACAACAUAGCGUUAAUGCAUUGGAUCCCAUUAGAACUCUGCAAUUAAGCGCGCUCGAGCUAGAGUAGUAAUUGGAUGGGUGACUGCCCAGGAAGUCCUAGUAUUUUACAUGCC